GGGGGCGGGGGGGGACGGCGUUCCGCCUCGGCCGGCGCCUAGCAGCUGACUUAGAACUGGUGCGGACCAGGGGAAUCCGACUGUUUAAUU
Pelodiscus sinensis (Chinese soft-shelled turtle) is the source of this 90-nucleotide microRNA precursor. The record is from Ensembl. Lineage: Eukaryota; Metazoa; Chordata; Testudines; Trionychidae.